UUUCCUUAAUCAAGAACGAAAGCUAGAGGUUUGAAGGCGAUCAGAUCCCGCCCUAGUUCUAACCCGUUAAACGAUCCCAACCAGCCAAUCCGCGGGAGUUAUUCAAUGACUCUGCGGGCGGCUCCAGGGAAACCAAAGUUUUUGGGUUCCGGGGGAAGUAUGGUUGCAAAAGCUGAAACUUAAAGGAAUUGACGGAAGGGCACCACCAGGAGUGGAGCCUGCGGCUUAAUUUGACUCAACGCGGGGAAACUCACCCGGCCCGGACACUGUAAGGAUUGACAGAUUGAUAGCUCUUUCUUGAUUCAGUGGAUGGUGGUGCAUGGCCGUUCUUAGUUGGUGGAGCGAUUUGUCUGGUUAAUUCCGAUAACGAACGAGACUCCGGCCUACUAACUAGAACGUAGAUUUUUUGUCUACGAGACUUCUUAGAGGGACUCGGGGCGUCUAGCCUCACGAAAUGGAGCGAUAACAGGUCUGUAAUGCCCUUAGAUGUCCGGGGCCGCACGCGCGCUACACUGAAGGAAGCAACAAGCUAUACCCUGGUUCGAAAGGACUGGGUAACCUUGUGAAACUCCUUCGUGAUUGGGAUAGGGACUUGCAAUUAUUUCCCUUGAACGAGGAAUUCCUAGUAAGUGUGGGUCAUCAUCUCGCGUUGAUUACGUCCCUGCCCUUUGUACACACCGCCCGUCGCUACUACCGAUUGAAUGAAAUACUGAAAUUGACGGAUUGGUCUUUUGGUGGCUUCGCGGCUGCCAUUGUGACUGAGAAAUCACUUAAAGUGUUUCAUUUAGAGGAAGUAAAAGUCGUAACAAGGUUUCCGUAGGUGAACCUGCAGAAGGAUCAAAGC
Molecule: ribosomal RNA, 844 nt
Filed under: Nematoda environmental sample
Lineage: Eukaryota; Metazoa; Nematoda
Description: bacterial SSU rRNA
Rfam family: Eukaryotic small subunit ribosomal RNA
Source: RNAcentral